This 231-nucleotide ribosomal RNA is filed under the name uncultured bacterium. RNAcentral's name for it is "partial 16S ribosomal RNA". It matches the Rfam family "Bacterial small subunit ribosomal RNA", at positions 103 to 334 of the family's 1533-position model. The record is from RNAcentral.
CGGGUGAGUAACACGUAUCCAACCUGCCGUCUACUCUUGGACAGCCUUCUGAAAGGAAGAUUAAUACAAGAUGGCAUCAUGAGUCCGCAUGUUCACAUGAUUAAAGGUAUUCCGGUAGACGAUGGGGAUGCGUUCCAUUAGAUAGUAGGCGGGGUAACGGCCCACCUAGUCUUCGAUGGAUAGGGGUUCUGAGAGGAAGGUCCCCCACAUUGGAACUGAGACACGGUCCAG